AAGAGUAUGAAUGAGGAAAGUCCCGUUGAACCUUAGGAAUAGAUUAGGAUAUUUUGGCAUCCAAGCUCAUUGAGUUGAGUCUGAGUUCACUUAUGGAUGCGAAUGCCCGAACUCGUUGAGUUGAGUCUGAGUUCGUGAGAUGUAACUAGGCAUCCGAGCUCGUUGAGUUGAGUCCGAGUUCUCUUAUGGAUGCGAACGCCUGAGCAUUAAGUUGAGUCCGAGUUCACUUAUGGGCGAGUUACAUGGUAGCUUGGCUACAUAUAUGGAACUUAUGUGCAAAC
This 281-nucleotide long non-coding RNA is filed under the name Gossypium barbadense (sea-island cotton). RNAcentral describes it as "long non-coding RNA (GBAR_LNC011424)". Lineage: Eukaryota; Viridiplantae; Streptophyta; Magnoliopsida; Malvales; Malvaceae. The record is from RNAcentral.